AGAAACAAGCGUGUCGUUGCGAAGUGCAAGUCAAGCGGGAAAAAAAGCAAUGUACUGCUAGUAUACUUAGGCUACUUCUUUGUGUUGUGAAAGUAGCAGAUACCAAAAAAAGAAGCAAAGUAGCGGAGACAGCAUCACGGAAUAAAGCCGCACAUUCUUCCUGCGUUUCUGCCGCUGCCUCACAUGACAAAAUAAUACUACAGCGCAACCGCGACGCAAAAGCCCAUUUCAGUCCGCCUAACAAACACCACAAAGUCCACCUACUCUGCGCCAACUGACCUAAGACGUGAGCGUUAUGGGACGUUUUAAGAAAGCCACCAAAACAACCCGUUCCAUCUUCACUAUGUUGUGUCAAAACAUUGCAGGUAUUGUUACGAUAUGCUUUCUUUCCUGAUCACUCAUCAUUCAUUCAAUCAUAUUGUGCACUGUUGGUAACGUGUCUCAGUUGACUAUUUGUGGUUGGAUCUGCAUAAAUGAAUAUAUACAACAAAUGGGAUAUGGCAUCUUUUUGCAUGAAUUACACUCCUAGGCAUACAUCAUGAGUCUUACUCACCAGAAAGGUAAUCUAAAUGUAACAAGGCCCCCCUUCAAAUAAACAACAACUCAGGUUCUUUUAAAUAAAUCCCCAAGAUUUAUUAAUGGCUUUACAGAGUUGUUUUAUUACACAGGACACCCUACACACAUACGUUAACCCCGCAAGAGUUGAGCAUCAAACCAUGCAAAGGGGCAAACAAGUCACACAAAACCAUUAAAUAAAUUCAAACACAAAAAAAGAUAAACCUUGUGAUUCAUACCAUUCAUCAAAG
Onychostoma macrolepis is the source of this 806-nucleotide long non-coding RNA. RefSeq lists it as uncharacterized. Lineage: Eukaryota; Metazoa; Chordata; Actinopteri; Cypriniformes; Cyprinidae. The transcript is spliced from 3 exons. The record is from RefSeq and is a predicted model, not a curated record.